Non-coding RNA from Pelobates cultripes (western spadefoot toad), 414 nucleotides. The record is from the annotation of a GenBank genome assembly. Lineage: Eukaryota; Metazoa; Chordata; Amphibia; Anura; Pelobatidae.
CACUCAGACAGAUACAGCUGACACACAUACGGAUACACAGGGGCACACAUUGACACACAGAUAUACAGACAGAUACACACAUGCAGAACGUACACAGUUUAAGCCAUCUUCCGGUUUCCAACCUUAUGAGUGCAGAAGAGUGGCUUCCCUCUGUUCCAGUCGGCUGGCUGAGGCUCUCCCACUUUGAGCCCCCUACUCUUUGCCUUUUCUUCCUGUGUGGCUCUGUUUUAUCUGGGAGGAAGUGACUGUUUCUCACUUUCUCCCAGCGUUGCCAAGAUUACAGGGACCUGGUCAAGCUGUUAAAGGGCUGUAGUGCAUGACCAGGCCACUAAAAUGAUUUUGCCAUCAGCUGGCCCUAAGUGCAUGGGUCCCCAAUGGACCCCUUAAGUGUGCCGGCUGCACCGGCAGUAGUUC